Molecule: ribosomal RNA, 383 nt
Filed under: uncultured eukaryote
Lineage: Eukaryota
Description: partial 18S ribosomal RNA
Rfam family: Eukaryotic small subunit ribosomal RNA
Source: RNAcentral
CAAUAGCGUAUAUUAAAGUUGUUGCAGUUAAAAAGCUCGUAGUUGGAUUUCUGGUGGGAGCGAUCGGUCUGGCGCUUAGCGCGAGUACUUGCAUCGUCUCCGGCCAUCCUUGGGGAGAGUCUGUCUGGCAUUAAGUUGUCGGGCAGAGGAUCCUCAUCGUUUACUGUGAAAAAAUUAGAGUGUUCAAAGCAGGCUCAUGCCGUUGAAUAUAUUAGCAUGGAAUAAUAAGAUAGGACUUUGGUACUAUUUUGUUGGUUUGCGCACCAAAGUAAUGAUUAAUAGGGACAGUUGGGGGUAUUCGUAUUCCGUUGUCAGAGGUGAAAUUCUUGGAUUUACGGAAGACGAACUACUGCGAAAGCAUUUACCAAGGAUGUUUUCAUUAA